GAAAUGCGAUAAGUAAUGUGAAUUGCAGAAUUCAGUGAAUCAUCGAAUCUUUGAACGCACAUUGCGCCCGCCAGUAUUCUGGCGGGCAUGACUGUUCGAGCGUCAUUACAACCCUCAGGCCCCCGGGCCUGGCGUUGGGGAUCGGCGGAAGCCCCCUGCGGGCACAACGCCGUCCCCCAAAUACAGUGGCGGUCCCGCCGCAGCUUCCAUUGCGUAGUAGCUAACACCUCGCAACUGGAGAGCGGCGCGGCCACGCCGUAAAACACCCAACUUCUGAAUGUUGACCUCGAAUCAGGUAGGAAUACCCGCUGAACUUAAGC
RNAcentral lists this unclassified non-coding RNA (320 nucleotides) under plant metagenome. RNAcentral describes it as "partial contains 5.8S ribosomal RNA, internal transcribed spacer 2, and large subunit ribosomal RNA". The stretch from base 1 to 105 matches the Rfam family "5.8S ribosomal RNA", at positions 50 to 154 of the family's 154-position model. The record is from RNAcentral.